UACGAAGGGUGCAAGCGUUAAUCGGAAUUACUGGGCGUAAAGCGUGCGUAGGUGGUUUGUUAAGUCUGUUGUGAAAGCCCUGGGCUCAACCUGGGAAUGGCGAUGGAUACUGGCGAGCUAGAGUACGGUAGAGGAUGGUGGAAUUCCCGGUGUAGCGGUGAAAUGCGUAGAGAUCGGGAGGAACAUCAGUGGCGAAGGCGGCCAUCUGGACCAGUACUGACGCUGAGGCACGAAAGCGUGGGGAGCAAACAGG
This 253-nucleotide ribosomal RNA is filed under the name uncultured bacterium. RNAcentral describes it as "partial 16S ribosomal RNA". It matches the Rfam family "Bacterial small subunit ribosomal RNA", at positions 524 to 776 of the family's 1533-position model. The record is from RNAcentral.